GACGAACGCUGGCGGCGUGCUUAACACAUGCAAGUCGAACGGAAAGGCCCUGCUUGCCGGGUACUCGAGUGGCGAACGGGUGAGUAACACGUGGGUGAUCUGCCCUGCACUUCGGGAUAAGCCUGGGAAACUGGGUCUAAUACCGGAUAGGAGCCAUUUUUAGUGUGAUGGUUGGAAAGUUUUUUCGGUGUAGGAUGAGCUCGCGGCCUAUCAGCUUGUUGGUGGGGUAAUGGCCUACCAAGGCGGCGACGGGUAGCCGGCCUGAGAGGGUGGACGGCCACAUUGGGACUGAGAUACGGCCCAGACUCCUACGGGAGGCAGCAGUGGGGAAUAUUGCACAAUGGGCGCAAGCCUGAUGCAGCGACGCCGCGUGGGGGAUGACGGCCUUCGGGUUGGAAACUCCUUUCGCUAGGGACGAAGCUUUUUGUGACGGUACCUAGAGAAGAAGCACCGGCUAACUACGUG
RNAcentral lists this ribosomal RNA (465 nucleotides) under uncultured bacterium. Its description in RNAcentral is "partial 16S ribosomal RNA". It matches the Rfam family "Bacterial small subunit ribosomal RNA", at positions 28 to 507 of the family's 1533-position model. The record is from RNAcentral.